CUGGAUAAUAUAUAUCAAUACAUCAUCACAGGCAUAUAACUAAUCUGUAUAAAAAUCUGGUUUCCAUUUCAUCCAUGGUCAAACUCAUAUCCACAACAGGAUCUAUGACUAUAACUAUACACUACAUACAACAGAAGGUUUAUAAUACACCAAAAGGUAUAAACCUCUAUCUACAGUAUACUAUGGAGCGGCACAGCUAGCAGGCAACCACUAAUCCUGCUUCUCUCUAUACAAUACCUGCCCUGCAAUCAAAAACACCAAACUGGGAAGUGAGUAUAUGAAUACUCAGUGAGUGGAGUAGAGAGUACUAUGCAUAUGAGACAGAAUAUAAUCAUGGCUUGAGAUGAAAUCUCAAGAUCAAUAACAAGAUGAACAUGAACUCAACAUAGAGAAUAUGGAGUAAAUCAUCAAUAUCACCACAAUCACAAUCAACUCAUCUGGAGCACAUAUGGAAUAAUCAAGUAAUCAUAUAUGCUACUCAUGAAUAUGCUCGACAGAUCAUAAUGCUGGAACAUACAAAUCGGGUGUCAAUAUGCUGAAACAAUGAUAAAUAGCAAUCGGAAGGUGGGUCUUACGCCCCAGGCGAACCACAACAACUCCCUACAAUCACAUGCAUAUGCAGAAUAAGACACCACACUGAUCAUGUAAAUGCUGGCCAGUAUCCAGAACAGAAAUCCAUAGAAAACCGUGAGACUCAUUUCACAUCUGAAUACUAAAUGGCACCUCGCGGAAAUUCUACAUCCGCGGAAAGCCAUACUGCACCUCGUGGGGUCCUACUAUGCCCGGCGGCAAGCAGAAUAUAAGUCGUAGGACUGGCCGAUCCUACACCUAGGGCCGUGUGCCCCCUAGGAAGGGACUGGGCUCCGCCCACCCAGAAGGCUACUAUGUGCACACAGGCCGAUGUCUAACCCCAUCGACUAUAGGUAUCCUGUAGAUACUGCCAAGCCAUGCAUAAAUGCCAUAAUGCACCCUCCCAAUACUCUACUAAAAAGGAGCAUAAUCAAGACUACCACUCACUCGGCCACGACCCAAUUAUAACUAACAUCAGGGUUGGGAGUGAGGAAUCAUGGAAGUGCAAUGCAACUCAAUAUAUCAUGAGAAGGGCUCUACAAGUCUUUGAAAUAGAGAAAAUGAAAUCAAUUUACAAAAGAGGUCAUUUCAUAAUUCGGAACCAAUUUAAUUACUCAUCUAUCCCUCGUAAUUCCUCUCAAUGUUUCCUCAAAUGCAUGUACAGAAUAAUCAAGCAUGAAGAACAAAACAUAGAGAAAUCUACCACAACAAUUAAUCAAUAAGUUCAGGUGGAAUCAAGUCACACUUGGCAACAUUCAUGAAAAUAAAUAAGGAAUGUGCUCAUGGUGCAAAGUACAAACUUCCACUCACCUGUCGAUCCGGCACGGCCUCGAUACGCCUCCCAAACUUUAUGGUAGGCAGUAGGGGGCUUCUUCUUCUUGCUCCCUAAUUUCUUGCCCAACUGUGACAUGCAUUUACAUUACAUUUAGUCUUGUAUUAAGGGCCAUAAUCUAUGUGCCAAAUCAUAAAUAUAGGAAACUUUAAUUGAUUCAACUCUCCCCUUUUCUAAAUCCUUUCCUUUUUCUCUUUUUCCUAUCAAUUAAUCUUCCCUUUAUAUGUAUUAUGAUGCAAGAGUAUCCCACACACACCUUGUAGGGUCAAGGUGUGUGAAAGGAUCAAAUCCCUUCUAAUCCAAAAUUUUACUAAACUUUGGGUCGACCCCAACUUUGAGGGUUGACCCCCGCUUGAGUCGACCCCAGCUUACCCUGAGUCAACCCUAAGCACCGAGCCAAAAAAAUUCCCAUUCUCUGGAAUUUCUUGAGAGAGUUAACCCUACCAGACUUGGGUCGACCCCACUCAGCCCUGAGUCGACUCCGGCUUACUUUGAGUUGACCCAACACCAUUUUUUUUCCAUCUUUCUUCAUCCGGAUGAACAGUAACCUAGGCUGACCUCUGGUUACUUCAUCCCGAAUUUGAACCUCAUGCCAAACUCCAAUUUUUAUGAAAUUUAUACCCAAAGUUCUACACUCAUAGGGGUUUCCAAAAUAAUAAGAUACAUCAUCAUCGGAGGCUGAUUGACCUCCGAAAUAAUUCACCGAAGUUGGGACUUCGACACAGUUUUUUCGCAGUCUCGGAAAAACUUUGUUGAAGUCCAACUCCCUCUUCUCUAAAUCUUUUCUUUUUUUUAUUAAUUAAAUCAUCAUUUAUGUGUAUUAGGGACUUCCUUGCAUGAGUACAAGGUCCUUCUUGCCUAAUCUAGGCUUAAUACCCUAUUAUGGCAUGAAAUCCCUUAUUUUCCCCUCCUGGAUGAACAGUAAUCCAUAUCAACAGCCGGUCACUUCAUCCUGGGUUUGAUCCACUUUUCAAACUCCAAAUUUUAUGAAAUUUUUACCUAACAUUCUACACUCAUGGAGGAUUCCAAAGAGAUAAAAUGCAUUACUAUCGGAGGCCGUUUGGCCCGCAAAACAAUUCACUGAAGUCAGGACUUUGACACAGAUUUUCCGCAGUCUCGGAAGAACCUUGUCGAAUUCCGAUUUCCUCUCUUUUAACCACCUCUAAAACCCCUAUCUAACCUCUUUACAGCCUCAAUUCUAUUAGGGGACUAGGUAGGGAUGAGUAUUUACCUCUUUCUCUUUGGAGAAUUGGGUUCUUGCACCGAGGGAAAGAAGACCGACACUUCUUCUUCUUCUUUCUUCUUCUUCUUCUUCUUCUUCUCUUUUCUUUCCUUCCCUCACGCCUGAGACCUCCUCUCCCUCUCUGUCUCAAAUCCCACGUCUCAGCUAACCAAACCCCAUUUAAGUCACAUCAAAACACCAAAAUUUCCCAUUUUGCCCUUGUCACUUCAACGGAUCUACAAUUAUGCCAUUAACUUUUGAUUCCUUUCCAUUUUGCUCCUAACACUUCAACGCAUCUACUGUUAUGCCAUUAACUUCUGAUUCCUUCCAAUUUUAUCCCUUAUAUCAAUUUUUAAGAACUAUUCUAUCCUUCUCUAUAUAAAUUUUUUUUAGGGGUUAUUACAUCCUCCCCCCCUUAUGUAAAAUUCGUCCUCGAAUUUAAAAAAGUAAAUUACCUAAUUACUCAAAGAGAUGAGUAGAGCAACAAUACUACCAGAAGCUUUUCUGCUCGGUGUAUCUACCUCAACAUUAGCUUUUUUCGAGGAGUAGUGUAUUGAUAAGGCAUAAUUUUUAUCAAUCCCAAUCAUCUUACAAGAUUCAUCAAUCCGGGGCCGAAGAUAUUUGUUCUUUAUUGUUACCUUGUCCAAUCCUCGAUAACCAAUACAUAACCUCAAACCUCCAUCUUUCCUCUUUACAAACAAUACUAGAGCUUCCCAAGGUGACACAUUGAGUCGAAUGAAGCCUUUAUUAAGUAGAUCUUGCAACUUUUCCUUUAAUUCUUCUAUUUCAGUUGGAGCCAUUCUAUAGGGUUUUUUUUUUUGAAGAUUGGUGUGGUAUUGGAAAUCAAAUCAAUUGCAAAUCCAAUCUCUCUCUGGUGGCAAACCAGGAAGAUCUUCUGGAAAAAAUCAGGGUAUUCAUUCAUUAAUGAAAUAUCCUCCAAUUUGGUCUCCUUUCAGGUAUCUAUUACACAUGCUAAAUAAGUCUUGCAUGUCGAGUUAUAUAAGUUUGUCGCUAACUCUCCUACCCCUAUUUGAAUUAUGCAAUUCUUGCACUAAUGUCAACAAUUACUGUUUUCUAUAGGGGUGUAGGAACAUACAAUAGUUCUUCUAGUUUCUCAAGUAUGUAGUGUAAUUAUCUAGAAAAAAACUAACUGAAAUAAAGGAAUGCAUAGUGCCAGAAUCGAACAAAAUAGAGGGAUCAAUCAAGCUGACUGGUAAUAUACCUGUUACCACCCGAUCAUUGGCACUAGCACCUUGGUGGGUUAAUGCAAAACUCGAGCAUUGCUUCUUGGCCUCUGGUCACCAUGUACAGGAGGUCUGGGCUCAUUCCUACUCUUGUACAGGAAAUCACGUGCCAGGUGUCCGGUCCGCCCACAACUAUAACAUGCCCUCGCUCUUCUCAUAUAGGGCCCACUAUGGAAUCUGCUAGAGUAAGUGCGGGCCCUAGGCUUCUUUUGAAUUGAAAUGCCUCUGAAAUCCUAUGACCUGCUACUCUGACUUCUAGCUGAUCUAUAUCUCAUCAGGUCAGCCUUUUCUUUAUCAGAUCUUUUUAAUUCAGCCUCCACUUUCAAAGCUCUGUCCAAAAUAUUCUUAUAGCUAGAAAUUAUCUGUAAAGAUGUUCGGAACCUGAUCCUGUAUCUAAGUCCUUGUUCGAAUCGGUUGGCUCUACUCAUAUCGUCCUCCAUGAACUGAGGGCAAAAUCGACUCAGCUCCUCGAACCUAUUGACAUAAUCCAGGACAGUCAUAUGUUCGAACUGAGACAGCGAUAAAAACUCAUUCUGUUUUAUUUGCCUGACUGAGUCCAAAAAAUACUUAGCAUAAAAUACCCUCUUAAAAUCUUUCCAGGUCAUUCCGUCGAUCUCAUAUGCUGUCUUCAUAGCAGUCCAUCAAUAAUCAGCACUCCCCCUUAGCAAAGAGGUAGCUAAAUUGACUUUUACCUCCUCGGAAAAUUGGAGUAACUCAUACAUCUUCUCCAUUUCCUGGAUCCAGGUCUCAGCUGUUAUGGGAUUGAAUCCACCAUCAAACAUCGGUGGAUUCAGCCUACGGAACCUCUCAUAAUAGGAAUCCAUCGGCUGUACAAGUUGGGCAGCCAACUGCAUCUGCUGCUGUUGCUCAAGCAAUUGUGCCAUUAACUGGUACACUCCUGCCAGGUCUGCCUGAGAUGCUAUGGAGUGUGGAGUAGUUUGUGAAAUUGAUUGGCUAUCAGGGUCCGGGGAAGGUGCCCUUAUUUCUCUUUCAUCCUCCAUGUUGUUUACGGCUACCUAGCAGUCAAUAAUUUAUGAUGAGUUUAUAUAAAUUAUCUCUUAACANNNNNNNNNNNNNNNNNNNNGGAAGGUGCCCUUAUUUCUCUUUCAUCCUCCAUGUUGUUUACGGCUACCUAGCAGUCAAUAAUUUAUGAUGAGUUUAUAUAAAUUAUCUCUUAACAUAGCAAAAUAGCAAAAACCAUCAGAGAGAUCACACAGCCAUAUCAUAAUUAAUCUGAGAAUCUACAAUAUUCACCUUCUCUUAUUAACACAAAUCUUCAUUAUUGAAAAAUCUAGUCUCCCAUCACAGUCAAUAUUUUUGACCAAUUUAAAUUGACUCGAUCCACUAUACUUUCGCUGCACAACUCUGAUCAAUAUUCUCCGAAUUUAUUAAUUGACUUUCUAUCAAAAUACAAAUCUUGAUUGUAAACUGAAAGAUAUAAAAUUUUAUCUCAAGUAGAGCCAAAAAAAGAACUCUUAAGUCUCAUCCCCAAAUAUAUCUUACUGAAUUGCAAAUAACUUAUAAAAUAACAUACAAAAAAAACUCUAUGCUCCGUAGUAUAAUCCUAUACUUAAUCCUGAUUCACCCUAUUGCUCUGAUAGGACUCUUCUUAACCUUUGCUCUGAUACCACUUCUUGUCACGACCCCCGCCCCGCUUCCGACGGGCCGCCGCGACGGUCCUAGGGUGCGGAUAGGCAUAAGGCCACCAGCCACCAUGUAGAACCCUACUAUCUACCAAUCAUUAAUAAAUUCUGAAAAAUUUUGGCAUGAUGCAUGCACAAAAUGAUCACCUUUUCUAUGGUGACCUGUCAGGAUUAUCACAAUACAUACAACAACACUACCUGUCAGAGCAGCAAUCACAUAAUCUGUCACAUAAUGAACCUGGACAAUAUAUAUCAAUACAUCAUCACAGGCAUAUAACUCAUCUGUAUAAAAAUCUGGUUUCCAUUCCAUCCAUGGUCAAACCCAUAUCCACAACAGGAUCUAUGACUAUAACUAUACACUAUAUACAACAGAAGGUUUAUAAUACACCAAAAGGUAUAAACCUCUAUCUACAGUAUACUAUGGAGCGGCACAGCUAGCAGGCAACCACUAA
RNAcentral lists this long non-coding RNA (5963 nucleotides) under Phoenix dactylifera (date palm). RNAcentral's name for it is "long non-coding RNA (PDAC_LNC009887)". Lineage: Eukaryota; Viridiplantae; Streptophyta; Magnoliopsida; Arecales; Arecaceae. The record is from RNAcentral.